AGGACAAACGCUGGCGGGGUGCAUGAGACAUGCAAGUCGAACGAGGUGCCAUCGGGCUUGCUCGAUGGUUACCUAGUGGCGGACGGCUGAGUAACGCGUAGGUGACCUACCCGGAAGUGGGGAAUAACUGCCCGAAAGGGUGGCUAAUACCGCAUGUGGUCGGCGAUUCGAUUCGCCGUCUAAAGGAGCAAUUCGCUUCCGGAGGGCCUGCGUCCGAUUAGCUAGUUGGUGGGGUAACGCUCACCAAGGCGACGAUCGGUAGCUGGUCUGAGAGAUGAUCAGCCAGACUGGGACUGAGAACGCCAGACU
RNAcentral lists this ribosomal RNA (309 nucleotides) under uncultured soil bacterium. RNAcentral's name for it is "bacterial SSU rRNA". It matches the Rfam family "Bacterial small subunit ribosomal RNA", at positions 26 to 337 of the family's 1533-position model. The record is from RNAcentral.